RNAcentral lists this unclassified non-coding RNA (338 nucleotides) under soil metagenome. Its description in RNAcentral is "partial contains 5.8S ribosomal RNA, internal transcribed spacer 2, and large subunit ribosomal RNA". The stretch from base 1 to 120 matches the Rfam family "5.8S ribosomal RNA", at positions 35 to 154 of the family's 154-position model. The record is from RNAcentral.
GAUGAAGAACGUAGCGAAAUGCGAUAAGUAAUGUGAAUUGCAGAAUUCAGUGAAUCAUCGAAUCUUUGAACGCACAUUGCGCCCGGCAGUACUCUGCCGGGCAUGCCUGUUCGAGCGUCAUUUCAACCCUCAAGCCCUGCUUGGUGUUGGGGUCCCACGGCCGCCGUGGGCCCUGAAAGGAAGUGGCGGGCUCGCUACAACUCCGAGUGUAGUAAUUCAUUAUCUCGCUUAGGGCGUUGGGCGGCGCUCCUGCCGUUAAAGAACCAUCUUUAACUCAAGGUUGACCUCGGAUCAGGUAGGAAUACCCGCUGAACUUAAGCAUAUCAAUAAGCGGAGGA